UACGGAGGGGGCAAGCGUUAUUCGGAAUUAUUGGGCGUAAAGGGCGCGUAGGCGGCUAGAUGUGUCAAAGGUGAAAGCCCCCGGCUCAACUGGGGAGGGUCACGCGAUACUGAUCGACUCGAAGGCAGGAGAGGGAAGUGGAAUUCCCGGUGUAGUGGUGAAAUGCGUAGAUAUCAGGAGGAACACCGGUGGCGAAGGCGGUUCUCUGGGCAUGUCCUGACGCUGAGGAGCGAAAGUGUGGGGAGCGAACAGG
RNAcentral lists this ribosomal RNA (253 nucleotides) under uncultured bacterium. RNAcentral's name for it is "partial 16S ribosomal RNA". It matches the Rfam family "Bacterial small subunit ribosomal RNA", at positions 524 to 776 of the family's 1533-position model. The record is from RNAcentral.